RNAcentral lists this small RNA (498 nucleotides) under Pan troglodytes (chimpanzee). RNAcentral's name for it is "retained intron". Lineage: Eukaryota; Metazoa; Chordata; Mammalia; Primates; Hominidae. The record is from RNAcentral.
UCUUCCCUGGCCUUGCCCUCUCUCUUCCUGCCUCGUAGCCGUGGGCGUCCAAAUGAAGCUGGAAUUCCUCCAGCGCAAAUUCUGGGCGGCAACACGGCAGGAUCUGGACUGCUUCGUCAUCGACAACAACGGGUUCAUUCUGAUCUCCAAGAGGUCCCGAGAGAGUGACCAUGUAUGACUAUCAGGCCAUGUGCAAACCCUCGAGUCACCAUCACAGUGCAGCCCAGCCCCUGGUCAGCCCAAUUUCUGCCUUCUUGACGGCGACCAGGUGGCUGCUGCAGGAGCUGGUGCUGUGAGUGGGGGUAGACACGGGGCUGGUGGAGGGCUGCAUGCGAGGGUGGCUUAGGAGGGUGUCCUUGAGCAGGAGGCUGCAAGGUCUCCAGGACAACCCACUUGCUACCAGACCCUGGGGAAGGAGGGCACAAUCCCUGGGCAUGGACACCACCUCUUCCCUGCAUGCUGCCCCUGGGAGGGACCUCAUUGCUCAACCAGAGCCCU